Molecule: ribosomal RNA, 412 nt
Filed under: uncultured bacterium
Lineage: Bacteria
Description: bacterial SSU rRNA
Rfam family: Bacterial small subunit ribosomal RNA
Source: RNAcentral
UGGCGGACGGGUGAGAAACACGUGGGUAACCUGCCUCAUAGAGGGGAAUAGCCUUUCGAAAGGAAGAUUAAUACCGCAUAAGAUUGUAGUACUGCAUGGUACAGCAAUUAAAGGAGUAAUCCGCUAUGAGAUGGACCCGCGUCGCAUUAGCUAGUUGGUGAGGUAACGGCUCACCAAGGCGACGAUGCGUAGCCGACCUGAGAGGGUGAUCGGCCACAUUGGGACUGAGACACGGCCCAGACUCCUACGGGAGGCAGCAGUGGGGAAUAUUGCACAAUGGGGGAAACCCUGAUGCAGCAACGCCGCGUGAGUGAUGACGGUCUUCGGAUUGUAAAGCUCUGUCUUUAGGGACGAUAAUGACGGUACCUAAGGAGGAAGCCACGGCUAACUACGUGCCAGCAGCCGCGGUAAU